Molecule: long non-coding RNA, 1657 nt
Organism: Halichondria panicea
Lineage: Eukaryota; Metazoa; Porifera; Demospongiae; Suberitida; Halichondriidae
Exons: 5
Source: RefSeq, a predicted model, not a curated record
ACAUGUACCCUGUCAAAACCUGUCAAGGCUAUAGUAUAAGCGUACGUGCGAGUGCAUGAGAAAUGUAUAGACUGUUAGCAAUCAGAAUGGCUACUCAACAAGAGUAUGAGGACAUACUGCUGUACAAGACUGCUGCCAGCAAUGCUGGCCAGAAGAAAUACAGAGACGGGCUUUCCACUAAUGACAAGAGAAGUAUAAGAGACAAAGUUCAAAGAUAUGCUCUGCAGCAACAAUGCUUAUACCUGCCUGAGAAGGACAGCACUGGCAUCCAUAGAAUGAGAAGAGUUGUGGUGAAGCAAGAGGAGAAAAGCAGGAUACUAAACAUGUGCCACGAUGGACUGGAUGGAAUGCAUUUUGGGAGAGACAAGACCUAUGGAAAGGUUGCUCAGGAUAUCUACUGGAAAGGCCUACAUGCUGACGUCAUACAGCUCUGCAAGCACUGCGACAAAUGCCAACGAACGAAUCACCAACUGCAGAAGCCCAGAGCAGAACUACAUCCCAUCCCUGUGACAAAGGCAUGGGUGGCCAAAAGUGAUUCAAUCAGACCAAGGAAGAGAGUUUGUCAACGAAAUCAACACCCGACUUUUUCAGUUGACUGACAUACAGCACUGCGUAUCAAGUGCUUACCACCCACAAACAAAUGGCCUUGAUGAACGCUUCAACCAGACUCUAUAGUGAACACUCUCAAGAAGGUAAUCGAUUCUAGUACUGAUGACUGGGAUCAGCAUCUCUCUGCUGCUCUUUAUGCCUAUCGCAUAUCAAAACAGGCGUCAUCAAAGUACACACCCUUUUUCUUAAUGUUCAAUCGCCACCCGCGGAAAGCUGUUACUUUUGAUAUGGAUCAACGAGAUGGUGCCGACGCUAUAGAAGAUAGAGGAGAUGCUGACCAAUUGAGUGGAGAGGAGACUGAAAAUGAAGAAGACGGAGAAGACAUGGAUGGAAUUCUCCGAAGGUUGAUGGAAAUUCGUGAUCGCUGUCACCUCAAUGCCAAGGAGAACAUUGCUGCUGCACAGCAAAAACAGAAGCAGCAGUAUGACAACAAGCAUAACUCUUUGAAGAGUUAUCCAGUUGGCAGCAGUGUCAUGCUAAAGAAUAUGGCCAAUUCUCAUCGAAUGGGAGGGAAAAUGGACUGCACCUGGAAAGGUCCAUAUAAUGCUUUCCCCAAGUACUGAGCUCCAGAUAGCACAAGUGUAUAGCCCAUUAAUUCAAUGCAAUGGGCUCUGUGGUGGCUCUCCAGCAGCAAGAGGGUGCUAACAACUGCGGACUAUUUAGCAUUGCUGCUGCAAUCACGCUGCUAUGAACGAUAAUGUGGAUUCUCUAGUGUUUGAUGAGGCCAAAAUGAGAGCACAUCUCAUUAAGUGCUUUGAGAAGGGCAAACUCUCACGGUUCCCUCGCACAAAGAAAGCGAUGCCCAAAAGACCAACACCACAAACCAUUGCCAUUACAAUAUACUGCAUGUGCAAGAGACCGGACUCUUUUGAGGAUAUGGUCAUGUGUGACAAAUUUAGUGAGUAGUAUCACUAUCGCUGUGCCAAAAUUCGCAAUGAACCAGUAGGUAAUUGGUUUUGUUCUGGUUGUAUCACUUUAUGAUUUGUGCACUUUUGGUUAUAUUUAUUGUACUUCUUUCUCUUGCAUUGUUGUAUUUAUUGAGUAUUGA